GUUUGCCUACGGGGGGCAGCAGUAGGGAAUUUUCGUCAAUGGGCGCAAGCCUGAACGAGCAAUGCCGCGUGAACGAGGAAGGUCUUCGGAUCGUAAAGUUCUGUUGAAGGGGAAAAAGAGCGGAGAGAGGAAAUGGUCUCCGAUUGAUAUUACCCUUCGAGGAAGUCACGGCUAACUACGUGCCAGCAGCCGCGGUAAUACGUAGGUGGCGAGCGUUAUCCGGAAUGAUUGGGCGUAAAGGGUGCGUAGGCGGCCUGCUAUGGCUGGAGUGAAAGUAACCGGCU
RNAcentral lists this ribosomal RNA (284 nucleotides) under uncultured bacterium. RNAcentral's name for it is "partial 16S ribosomal RNA". It matches the Rfam family "Bacterial small subunit ribosomal RNA", at positions 333 to 609 of the family's 1533-position model. The record is from RNAcentral.